This 289-nucleotide ribosomal RNA is filed under the name uncultured bacterium. RNAcentral describes it as "partial 16S ribosomal RNA". It matches the Rfam family "Bacterial small subunit ribosomal RNA", at positions 773 to 1060 of the family's 1533-position model. The record is from RNAcentral.
GUGGAUUAGAUACCCUAGUAGUCCACGCCGUAAACGAUGGGCACUAGGUGUGGGAGGUGUCGACUCCUCCCGUGCCGCAGCUAACGCAUUAAGUGCCCCGCCUGGGGAGUACGGCCGCAAGGCUAAAACUCAAAGGAAUUGACGGGGGCCCGCACAAGCAGCGGAGCAUGUGGUUUAAUUCGACGCAACGCGAAGAACCUUACCUGGGCUUGACAUGUUGGUCGUACCUGUGGAAACACAGGGUCAGUUCGGCUGGACCAUCACAGGUGGUGCACGGCUGUCGACAACU